UACGUAGGCAGCAAGCGUUGUUCGGAGUUACUGGGCGUAAAGGGUGUGUAGGCGGUUCUUUAAGUGUGGUGUGAAAUCUCCCGGCUCAACUGGGAGGGUGCGCCGAAUACUGAGGGACUAGAGUACGGGAGAGGAAAGUGGAAUUCCUGGUGUAGCGGUGAAAUGCGUAGAUAUCAGGAGGAACACCGGUGGUGUAGACGGCUUUCUGGACCGACACUGACGCUGAGACACGAAAGCGUGGGUAGCAAACAGG
This 253-nucleotide ribosomal RNA is filed under the name uncultured bacterium. RNAcentral describes it as "partial 16S ribosomal RNA". It matches the Rfam family "Bacterial small subunit ribosomal RNA", at positions 524 to 776 of the family's 1533-position model. The record is from RNAcentral.